AUGGGCUUGGUACAAGCCGAAUAAUUUGAGACAUCUUAUCCCAGGCAUACCAUCCUUCUAUUGAACAUUUAGUGUGUUAAUAGUGCUGGGGAGACCGAUCAGAAACAAUCAGGAGGGGAAAACUGAAAGCUCGAAUAGGAGGAACUGGAGAGGGUUUCUGGGUGGGACAAAAGCCCUUGAGAGUUCGAAUAGUGCAGAAGAAAGCUGGCUCUGCAGGGUCUCCUGGGGGAGCCAACGGAAACAGCAACUCUUCCUGUGCGGAGGGAUGUCUUAAUCCCAUGAUUCUUAUUUUUUCUCCCAUACAGAAGCUGGUUUGAUUUACUAGCAGAGCCAACAGAAUUGCUGCGCGUGAACUCUGCAGAGACUGAAAGGGAGAGAUGAGCCUUGGAAAGGUCAUCCACCAAAGUGGUCUGCGACAUCAAAAAAUUGAAAAUUAGUGUGUAGCUGCAGCUAAUGGACCUUAAUACAUCUUGAAUUGUCCUACCGGGAGCAGGAAACAGUUGCAGAGGAUGGAUGAGAGCUUUAGGACUCCAUGCUACAAAACUUCAGUUCCAAAGCCAAGAAAUGAAUGUUAACUUUGCAAAUGUGAGCUGCGGAGAACAACAACCAGCCAGGGGGCUGCACCAAGCCAGCCAGCGAUGUCAGGAACAACCAUGAGCAGAGUGAAGAUCCAGUCUGGUCAUGGCGAUGGAGGUUGGGUCAAGUUCUUUACAUUUAGUGCGUUGUCUCCAGGUCUUCCCAGCUCCAGCUGGAAUAGCUGUUAUGUCAUUAGGUGGUGCCAGUCGCGUCAGCAGCCUGGUUUGCUCGUCCGCGUUUGUGUUCUGGCUCAGCUGCCUGCCGACCUCCGUGAUGAACAGCAGACUUUCAGCACAUACAAAUGGCCAGCCGUUAUGCUCCCUUUAAAUGGCUUUCAGAUAAAUACAAAGGGAGGAGAUAAAUGAUUUAACAAUAAAAUAUUUGCCCAUUUUUAAAGUUACCCA
RNAcentral lists this long non-coding RNA (980 nucleotides) under Anser brachyrhynchus (Pink-footed goose). Its description in RNAcentral is "lncRNA (ENSABRG00000005823.1)". Lineage: Eukaryota; Metazoa; Chordata; Aves; Anseriformes; Anatidae. The record is from RNAcentral.